This 468-nucleotide ribosomal RNA is filed under the name uncultured bacterium. RNAcentral's name for it is "partial 16S ribosomal RNA". It matches the Rfam family "Bacterial small subunit ribosomal RNA", at positions 28 to 507 of the family's 1533-position model. The record is from RNAcentral.
GACGAACGCUGGCGGCGUGCUUAACACAUGCAAGUCGAACGGAAAGGCCCUGCUUUUGUGGGGUGCUCGAGUGGCGAACGGGUGAGUAACACGUGAGUAACCUGCCCUUGACUUUGGGAUAACUUCAGUAAACUGGGGCUAAUACCGGAUAGGAGCUCCUGCUGCAUGGUGGGGGUUGGAAAGUUUCGGCGGUUGGGGAUGGACUCGCGUCUUAUCAUCUUGUUGGUGGGGUAGUGGCUUACCAAGGCUUUGACGGGUAGCCGGCCUGAGAGGGUGACCGGCCACAUUGGGACUGAGAUACGGCCCAGACUCCUACGGGAGGCAGCAGUGGGGAAUAUUGCACAAUGGGCGGAAGCCUGAUGCAGCAACGCCGCGUGAGGGAUGACGGCCUUCGGGUUGUAAACCGCUUUCGCCUGUGACGAAGCGUGAGUGACGGUAAUGGGUAAAGAAGCACCGGCUAACUACGUG